This 376-nucleotide ribosomal RNA is filed under the name uncultured bacterium. Its description in RNAcentral is "bacterial SSU rRNA". It matches the Rfam family "Bacterial small subunit ribosomal RNA", at positions 29 to 417 of the family's 1533-position model. The record is from RNAcentral.
AACGAACGCUGGCGGCAUGCUUAACACAUGCAAGUUGAACGCAGAAUAAGCCUUCGGGUUUAUUGCUGAGUAGCAAACGGGUGAGUAACGCGUGGGAAUCUGCCUUUGUGUGGGGGAUAACUAAGGGAAACUUUAGCUAAUACCGCAUAAGCUCUACGGAGGAAAGACUUCGGUCGCAGAAAGAGGAGCCCGCGUCAGAUUAGGUAGUUGGUGGGGUAAAAGCCUACCAAGCCAAUGAUCUGUAGCUGGUCUGAGAGGAUGAUCAGCCACACUGGGACUGAGACACGGCCCAGACUCCUACGGGAGGCAGCAGUGGGGAAUAUUGGACAAUGGGGGAAACCCUGAUCCAGCAAUGCCGCGUGAAUGAAGAAGGCCU